GACGAACGCUGGCGGCGUGCUUAACACAUGCAAGUCGAACGGAAAGGCCCUGCUCUUGUGGGGUGCUCGAGUGGCGAACGGGUGAGUAACACGUGAGUAACCUGCCCUUGACUUUGGGAUAACUUCAGGAAACUGGGGCUAAUAUAGGAUAGGAGCUCCUGCUGCAUGGUGGGGGUUGGAAAGUUACGGUGGUUGGGGAUGGACUGGCGGCUCAUCAGUUUGUUGGUGGGGUAGUGGCGUACCAAUGCUCUGACGGGUAGCCGGCCUGAGAGGGUGACCGGCCACAUUGGGACUCGGAUACGGGCCAUAGUCAUACGGGGGGCAUGAGUGAGGAAUUUUGCGCAAUGGGCGGAAGCCGGAAGCAGCAUCGCCGCGUGCUGAAUGACGGCCUUCAGGUUGUAAACCGCUUUCGCGUGGGACGAAGCGUGAGUGACGGUAAUGGGUAAAGAAGCACCGGCUAACUACGUG
RNAcentral lists this ribosomal RNA (468 nucleotides) under uncultured bacterium. RNAcentral describes it as "partial 16S ribosomal RNA". It matches the Rfam family "Bacterial small subunit ribosomal RNA", at positions 28 to 507 of the family's 1533-position model. The record is from RNAcentral.